GAAUGCUGACAUAAGUAACGAUAAAGCGGGUGAAAAGCCCGCUCGCCGGAAGACCAAGGGUUCCUGUCCAACGUUAAUCGGGGCAGGGUGAGUCGACCCCUAAGGCGAGGCCGAAAGGCGUAGUCGAUGGGAAACGGGUUAAUAUUCCCGUACUUGGUGUUACUGCGAAGGGGGGACGGAGAAGGCUAUGUUGGCCGGGCGACGGUUGUCCCGGUUUAAGCGUGUAGGUGUGUGUUCCAGGUAAAUCCGGUUCACUUUAACACUGAGGCGUGACGACGAGGCACUACGGUGCUGAAGCA
Molecule: ribosomal RNA, 299 nt
Filed under: Salmonella enterica subsp. enterica serovar Heidelberg
Lineage: Bacteria; Pseudomonadati; Pseudomonadota; Gammaproteobacteria; Enterobacterales; Enterobacteriaceae
Also listed under: 1 other name
Description: partial 23S ribosomal RNA
Rfam family: Bacterial large subunit ribosomal RNA
Source: RNAcentral